AAUUAUAUAAUCAACUAUGAUUUUAAAUUGCAAAUUUAAAAGUAUACAUUUUUAUGUAUUAUAAUUU
RNAcentral lists this transfer RNA (67 nucleotides) under Tomicus piniperda (common pine shoot beetle). RNAcentral's name for it is "tRNA-Cys". Lineage: Eukaryota; Metazoa; Arthropoda; Insecta; Coleoptera; Curculionidae. The record is from RNAcentral.